Non-coding RNA from Arachis ipaensis, 408 nucleotides. Lineage: Eukaryota; Viridiplantae; Streptophyta; Magnoliopsida; Fabales; Fabaceae. The record is from RefSeq and is a predicted model, not a curated record.
CUGUUGAGCGCAUAAUCUUUGAAGCCAUUGAUUAAGCCGCGUGCUUCUAGAGAACCAAUACAUCCCCGAAGUCGAGGCUCGCCGCCAUUUACCACUUUCUUCCAUGUAACAAAUAAUGGGCUGAAACAAAGUACACUCUCUUCAAACAGGAGGAGGAGCAUCGUGACUGUUGUAGUGAGCAACGAGGGUGUCAAAGCAGUACACAACCAUCUCCUUGUUGGCGGACACCAUUUUUGCGUGGGUUUCAAAGUUGCGAAAAGAAUUAUUAGGAACAGCUUUUCAGAAUCGAAAUUCUGAAAACGCUGCCGUUCGGAUUCUUCCUUCUUCGGAAGCCGAUAACAGACGCAGCAAAAUAAAUUGGGAGGCGAGACUUUUGGAGUCGUUGGACCCUACCUACCUGCCUAGCAA